CAUUGGCUUCGACGUCGAUUACGAACCCUUAGGUGCAUGUCGUGUGGGUAGCAACACACGUACUUCAAGUGCUGCAAAUGAUAGUUGCAAACGACGACAACUACGCUUUAGCCGCUUAAGGCUGAACCGUCCCGAGUUUUUGCUUGUGGGGAUGACAGGACGGUAACUUUACACAAGAUCGCAGCAAAGCGCGCCUGGCGCGGCGCUGUUAAAACUUAACAGGCUAGCUUGUUACUCCCUGUCUGGUCGGGCCGUAACGAGCGAAAUUAAUAGACAAGACUAAACAUGUAGAUCCUUAGGCAGAGGAUUGGCGGACGCGGGUUCGAUCCCCGCCGCCUCCACCA
RNAcentral lists this transfer-messenger RNA (344 nucleotides) under Ketobacter sp. RNAcentral's name for it is "partial transfer-messenger RNA". It matches the Rfam family "transfer-messenger RNA". From Rfam's summary of the family: Bacterial tmRNA, also known as 10Sa RNA or SsrA, is named for its dual tRNA and mRNA-like properties. Its role is to liberate the mRNA from a stalled ribosome. To accomplish this part of the tmRNA is used as a reading frame that ends in a translation stop signal. The record is from RNAcentral. Lineage: Bacteria; Pseudomonadati; Pseudomonadota; Gammaproteobacteria; Pseudomonadales; Ketobacteraceae.